UANGCCUUGACAUACUACAGAAUUUGACAGAGAUGUUGAAGUGCCUUCGGGAGCUGUAAUACAGGUGCUGCACGGCUGUCGUCAGCUCGUGUCGUGAGAUGUUGGGUUAAGUCCCGCAACGAGCGCAACCCUCGUCCUUAGUUACUAACGGUUCGGCCGAGGACUCUAAGGAGACUGCCUUCGUAAGGAGGAGGAAGGUGAGGACGACGUCAAGUCAUCAUGGCCCUUACGGCUAGGGCAACACACGUGCUACAAUGGUUAGGACAAUGAGAAGCGAUACCGCGAGGUGGAGCAAAUCUAUAAACCUAAUCUCAGUUCGGAUAGCAGUCUGCAACUCGACUGCUUGAAGCUGGAAUCACUAGUAAUCGUAAAUCAGCUAUGUUACGGUGAAUACGUUCCCGGGUCU
Molecule: ribosomal RNA, 406 nt
Filed under: uncultured bacterium
Lineage: Bacteria
Description: bacterial SSU rRNA
Rfam family: Bacterial small subunit ribosomal RNA
Source: RNAcentral